AUUGAACGCUGGCGGCAUGCCUUACACAUGCAAGUCGAACGGUAACGGGCCUUCGGUUUCCGACGAGUGGCGAGCGGGUGGGUAAUACAUCGGAACGUGCCCGAUCGUGGGGGAUAACGUGGCGAAAGCUUUGCUAAUACCGCAUACGAUCUACGGAUGAAAGGCGGGGACCGGGAGGGCUUGUGUGGGCGGAUGGGGCGAUGGCAGAGUAGGUAGAUGGUGGGAUAGAAGCUUACCAAGCCGACGAUCUGUAGCUGUCGUGAGAGGGUGAGCGGGCCCAUGGGGACUGAGCCAGGGCCCAGAGUACUACGGAAGGAAGCAGUGGGGAAUUUUGGACAAUGGGCGCAAGCCUGAUCCAGCCAUGCCGCGUGCAGGAUGACGGCCUUCGGGCUGUAAACUGCUUUUGUACGGAACGAAAAGCCUUCUUUUAAUACAGGAGGGUCAUGACGGUACCGGAAGAAUAAGCACCGGCUAACUACGUG
RNAcentral lists this ribosomal RNA (482 nucleotides) under uncultured bacterium. Its description in RNAcentral is "partial 16S ribosomal RNA". It matches the Rfam family "Bacterial small subunit ribosomal RNA", at positions 29 to 507 of the family's 1533-position model. The record is from RNAcentral.